RNAcentral lists this ribosomal RNA (507 nucleotides) under uncultured Scutellospora. Its description in RNAcentral is "SSU rRNA". It matches the Rfam family "Eukaryotic small subunit ribosomal RNA", at positions 569 to 1083 of the family's 1831-position model. Lineage: Eukaryota; Fungi; Glomeromycota; Glomeromycetes; Diversisporales; Gigasporaceae. The record is from RNAcentral.
AGCAGCCGCGGUAAUUCCAGCUCCAAUAGCGUAUAUUAAAGUUGUUGCAGUUAAAAAGCUCGUAGUUGAAUUUCGGGAUUCUAUCGUUGGUCAGGCUAUUGUCUGUACUGGCGUGUAGAAUUUCUACCUUCUGGGGAACUAUCAUGUUAUUAAUUUAGCGUGGUAGGAAACCAGGACCUUUACCUUGAAAAAUUAGAGUGUUCAAAGCAGGCUUAUGUCUGAAUACAUUAGCAUGGAAUAAUAAAAUAGGACGGUGGUCCUGUUUUGUUGGUUUCUGAAUCACCGUAAUGAUUAAUAGGGAUAGUUGGGGGCAUUAGUAUUCAAUUGUCAGAGGUGAAAUUCUUGGAUUUAUUGAAGACUAACUACUGCGAAAGCAUUUGCCAAGGAUGUUUUCAUUAAUCAAGAACGAAAGUUAGGGGAUCGAAGACGAUCAGAUACCGUCGUAGUCUUAACCAUAAACUAUGCCGACUAGGGAUCGGACGAUGUUAACUUUUCUGACUCGUUCGG